RNAcentral lists this unclassified non-coding RNA (64 nucleotides) under Sorangium cellulosum So ce56. RNAcentral's name for it is "sce_SECIS_4". Lineage: Bacteria; Pseudomonadati; Myxococcota; Polyangiales; Polyangiaceae. The record is from RNAcentral.
CCAAGCUUCGCGACGCGCUCUCCUACAUCCGAACGUUUACGUAGACGUGGACGUUUACGUAAAC